AAUAGUGUUCAUAAUAAACAGUAGUUUAAAAAAAAAUCACAUUUUUGUUUCAUCUUUUUAAACGCUCUAGCGCCUAAAUUGGUCGACGUAGGUGGACCCAAUACAUUGCACCAGUUAGAUAGUUUAAUGAGCUUUCAGAAAAGCCCUCAACCUCUUCUCUAUCACCACCAGGGGCGUGGCAAUAGUGUUCAUAAUAAACAGUAGUUUAAAAAAAAAUCACAUUUUUGUUUCAUCUUUUUAAACGCUCUAGCGCCUAAAUUCGUCGACGUAGGUGAACCCAAUACAUUGCACCAGUUAGAUAGUUUAAUGAGCUUUCAGAAAAGCCCUCAACCUCUUCUCUAUCACCACCAGGGGCGUGGCAAUAGUGUUCAUAAUAAACAGUAAAUUAAAAAAAAAUCACAUUUUUGUUUCAUCUUUUUAAACGCUCUAGCGCCUAAAUUCGUCGACGUAGGUGGACCCAAUACAUUGCACCAGUUAGAUAGUUUAAUGAGCUUUCAAAAAAGCCCUCAACCUCUUCUCUAUCACCACCAGGGGCGUGGCAAUAGUGUUCAUAAUAAACAGUAGUUUAAAAAAAAAUCACAGUUUUGUUUAAAUUUUUUAAACGCUCUAGCGGCUAAAUUGGCGGACAUAGGUGGACCCAAUACAAUGCACCAGUUAGAUAGUUUAAUGAGCUUUCAGAAAAGCCCUCAACCUCUUCUCUAUCACCACCAGGGGCGUGGCAAUAGUGUUCAUAAUAAACAGUAAAUUAAAAAAAAAUCACAUUUUUGUUUCAUCUUUUUAAACGCUCUAGCGCCUAAAUUCGUCGACGUAGGUGAA
Molecule: long non-coding RNA, 816 nt
Organism: Bactrocera dorsalis (oriental fruit fly)
Lineage: Eukaryota; Metazoa; Arthropoda; Insecta; Diptera; Tephritidae
Exons: 2
Source: RefSeq, a predicted model, not a curated record